CCCGGUCGGUGCUUGAUCAUUACGCUAUCACUCUAUUAGUCUCGUCUGUGGAUGUUUCUUAAAAAAACAAGAAUUGUUCUCUGCAUCACCCGUCAUGCUGCCACUGCUAGGGCUGGCAGGCUUAGGCAUUCCCUGAGUGGUUUAACCGUAUAUAGAGUAGUUAUAGGCUCGAAUAACAGCCAGCAGCUGGGCGGGGCAUGUUGAGUGAGGAUUUCAAUAUCACUGAAUCACUGAGAUCAUCUACACUUUUCCUUCCCACCAACCCCUUCCCUGAGAGAUCAAGAGGCCAAAUGAGCCAAGGGGAGGGAGCCCCUUUUUCGACAUCGUACCGUGGCAACAACCAGA
Molecule: small RNA, 345 nt
Filed under: Histoplasma ohiense
Lineage: Eukaryota; Fungi; Ascomycota; Eurotiomycetes; Onygenales; Ajellomycetaceae
Description: hypothetical lncRNA
Source: RNAcentral